This 402-nucleotide ribosomal RNA is filed under the name uncultured bacterium. RNAcentral describes it as "bacterial SSU rRNA". It matches the Rfam family "Archaeal small subunit ribosomal RNA", at positions 339 to 742 of the family's 1478-position model. The record is from RNAcentral.
GCGCGAAAACUUUACAAUGCUGGCAACAGCGAUAAGGGAACCUCGAGUGCCAGGUUACAAAUCUGGCUGUCGAGAUGCCUAAAAAGCAUUUCAUAGCAAGGGCCGGGCAAGACCGGUGCCAGCCGCCGCGGUAACACCGGCGGCUCGAGUGGUAACCGUUAUUAUUGGGUCUAAAGGGUCUGUAGCCGGCCGGAUAAGUCUCUUGAGAAAUCUGGCAGCUUAACUGUCAGGCUUUCAGGAGAUACUGUCUGGCUCGAGGCCGGGAGAGGUGAGAGGUACUUCAGGGGUAGGGUGAAAUCUUGUAAUCCUUGAAGGACCACCAGUGGCGAAGGCGUCUCACCAGAACGGACCUGACGGCAAGGGACGAAAGCUAGGGGCACGAACCGGAUUAGAUACCCCUGU